This 253-nucleotide ribosomal RNA is filed under the name uncultured bacterium. RNAcentral describes it as "partial 16S ribosomal RNA". It matches the Rfam family "Bacterial small subunit ribosomal RNA", at positions 524 to 776 of the family's 1533-position model. The record is from RNAcentral.
UACGGGGGGGGCAAGCGUUGUUCGGCAUUACUGGGCGUAAAGGGCUCGUAGGUGGUCAACUAAGUCGGACGUGAAAUCCCUCGGCUUAACCGGGGAACUGCGUCCGAUACUGGAUGACUUGAGUUCGGGAGAGGGAUGCGGAAUUCCAGGUGUAGCGGUGAAAUGCGUAGAUAUCUGGAGGAACACCGGUGGCGAAGGCGGCAUCCUGGACCGACACUGACGCUGAGGAGCGAAAGCCAGGGGAGCAAACGGG